RNAcentral lists this ribosomal RNA (253 nucleotides) under uncultured bacterium. RNAcentral's name for it is "partial 16S ribosomal RNA". It matches the Rfam family "Bacterial small subunit ribosomal RNA", at positions 524 to 776 of the family's 1533-position model. The record is from RNAcentral.
UACGGGGGGGGCAAGCGUUGUUCGGAAUUACUGGGCGUAAAGGGCUCGUAGGCGGCCAACUAAGUCAGACGUGAAAUCCCUCGGCCUAACCGGGGAACUGCGUCUGAUACUGGAUGGCUUGAGUUUGGGAGAGGGAUGCGGAAUUCCAGGUGUAGCGGUGAAAUGCGUAGAUAUCUGGAGGAACACCGGUGGCGAAGGCGGCAUCCUGGACCAACACUGACGCUGAGGAGCGAAAGCCAGGGGAGCAAACGGG